This 1322-nucleotide unclassified non-coding RNA is filed under the name Hevea brasiliensis (rubber tree). The record is from RNAcentral. Lineage: Eukaryota; Viridiplantae; Streptophyta; Magnoliopsida; Malpighiales; Euphorbiaceae.
AAAGGGUUCAACAACGCACGGUUCCCUUCAGCUGCGCCUCCUCCUUCCUCUGGGCUCUGCCUUCCCUAAACCCUUUCCGUUUGUUUCUCCAGAAAAAUUUCUAAAUCAUAACACUUUUUAAUUAUUAUUCUCAUUAUUUUUUAUAUAAUUUGGUUGUUAUUGUCCAUGGCCUCCUCUAAGAAGCCCCAAAGGUCCCUCGAGGAAAUCGAGGAUAUCAUCCUCCGCAAAAUCAUGCUAGUCUCCCUCACCGACUCCAUAGUUGCUGAUUCUCGAAUUGUCUACUUGGAGAUGACCGCAGCAGAGAUCCUUAGUGAAGGGAAAGACUUGAAGGUGAAUCGCGACUUGGUGGAACGCGUGCUGAUUGAUCGCCUAUCGGGACAAUUCCCAGGAGCUGAGCCUCCGUUCCAGUACCUACUUGGCUGCUAUCGCCGCGCGACGGAAGAGGAGAAGAAAAUUGCUAAUAUGAAGGACAAAAAUAUCAAAUUAGAAUUGGAAUCCUCAAUCAAGCAAGCGAAGAAGUUGUUCGUUUCUUAUUGUAGAAUUCAUUUGGGGAAUCCAGACAUGUUCCCUUUUAAUUCUGAUCCUAAAAAAUCCAAUGUUUCGCCGCUUCUUCCUCUCAUUUUCGCUGACGUAGAUGAGUUUAACAGCGGCGGAACACAGCCGCCGCCUCCGAGGUUUUUGGAAGAUUUGUUUCUGGAAGGGGAUUUUGAUAGCUUGGACCCCAUAUUGAAGGGGCUUUACGAGGAUUUGAGAGGGAAUGUUAUAAAGGUAUCAGUGUUGGGGAAUUUUCAGCAGCCUUUAAGGGCGUUGAAGUUUUUGCUUACUUUUCCCGUGGGAGUUAAGUCCCUUGUGAAUCAUCCGUGGUGGAUUCCCAAAGGGGCUUAUUUGAAUGGAAGAGUUAUCGAAAUGACCAGUAUUUUGGGGCCCUUUUUUCAUGUUAGUGCAUUGCCUGAUCACACCAUUUUCAAGAGCGAGCCGGAUGUUGGACAGCAGUGUUUCUCUGAAGUAUCGACUCGUCGACAAGCUGAUUUGUUAUCUUCAUUCACCACAAUUAAGACUCUUAUGAAUAAUCUAUAUGAUGAUCUAGAAAAGGUUCUCUUCACUUUGCUUAAAAGCAGUGAUACACGUGAGAAUGUUCUUCAAUAUCUUGCUGAGGUGAUCAAUAGAAAUCCAUCGAGAGCCCAUAUACAGGUUGAUCCUAUAUCUUGUGCAAGUUCAGGCAUGUUUGUUAAUCUAAGUGCUGUCAUGCUUAAGCUUUGUGAACCAUUUUUGGAUCUAAAUUUGACAAAAAGGGAUAAGAUUGAUCCAAAAUAUGUGUUUUA